AACGCACCUUGCGCCCUUUGGUAUUCCGAAGGGCAUGCCUGUUUGAGUGUCAUGAAACUCUCACACCAGGGGUUUUUCCUCUGGUCGUGGAUGUGGUCGCUGCCGUUGGCUCGACCUAAUAGUCUCACACCGUGGUCUAAGUCUCCACAAGGUGUGCUCCAUCAGCUUUGGCUGAUACCUUUACACUCCGACCUCAAAUCAGGUAGGACUACCCGCUGAACUUAA
RNAcentral lists this unclassified non-coding RNA (225 nucleotides) under Cladophialophora sp. RNAcentral describes it as "partial contains 5.8S ribosomal RNA, internal transcribed spacer 2, and large subunit ribosomal RNA". The stretch from base 1 to 52 matches the Rfam family "5.8S ribosomal RNA", at positions 103 to 154 of the family's 154-position model. Lineage: Eukaryota; Fungi; Ascomycota; Eurotiomycetes; Chaetothyriales; Herpotrichiellaceae. The record is from RNAcentral.